GCACAAGCGGUGGAGCAUGUGGUUUAAUUCGAUGCAACGCGAAGAACCUUACCUGGUCUUGACAUCCAUGGAAUCCUUCAGAGAUGAGGGAGUGCCGGUUUACCGGAACCAUGAGACAGGUGCUGCAUGGCUGUCGUCAGCUCGUGUCGUGAGAUGUUGGGUUAAGUCCCGCAACGAGCGCAACCCUGCUCCAGUUACCAUCAUUAAGUUGGGGACUCUGGAAGGACCGCUGCGGUAACAACGCAGAGGAAGGUGGGGACGACGUCAAGUCAUCAUGGUCCUUAUGACCAGGGCUACACACGUGCUACAAUGGUAGUUACAGAGGGAAGCGAUACGGCAACGUGGAGCAAAUCUCAGAAAAGCUACCUUAGUUCGGAUUGAGGUCUGCAACUCGACCUCAUGAAGUUGGAAUCGCUAGUAAUCGCGCAACAGCAUGGCGCGGUGAAUACGUUCCCGGGCCUU
RNAcentral lists this ribosomal RNA (462 nucleotides) under uncultured Spirochaetota bacterium. Its description in RNAcentral is "bacterial SSU rRNA". It matches the Rfam family "Bacterial small subunit ribosomal RNA", at positions 923 to 1382 of the family's 1533-position model. The record is from RNAcentral. Lineage: Bacteria; Pseudomonadati; Spirochaetota.